CCCAGACUCCUACGGGAGGCAGCAGUGGGGGAUAUUGCACAAUGGGGGGAACCCUGAUGCAGCGACGCCGCGUGGGUGAAGAAGUAUUUCGGUAUGUAAAGCCCUAUCGGCAGGGAAGAAAUUGGACGGUACCUGACUAAGAAGCCCCGGCUAACUACGUGCCAGCAGCCGCGGUAAUACGUAGGGGGCAAGCGUUAUCCGGAUUCACUGGGUGUAAAGGGAGCGUAGACGGCCAUGCAAGCCUGGAGUGAAAGCCCGGGGCCCAACCCCGGGACUGCUCUGGGAACUGUGCGGCUGGAGUGCGGGAGGGGCAGGCGGAAUUCCUGGUGUAGCGGUGAAAUGCGUAGAUAUCAGGAGGAACACCGGCGGCGAAGGCGGCCUGCUGGACCGCGACUGACGUUGAGGCUCGAAAGCGUGGGGAGCAAACAGGAUUAGAUACCCUGGUACG
This 448-nucleotide ribosomal RNA is filed under the name uncultured bacterium. RNAcentral's name for it is "bacterial SSU rRNA". It matches the Rfam family "Bacterial small subunit ribosomal RNA", at positions 330 to 793 of the family's 1533-position model. The record is from RNAcentral.